UUGAAAACUACAAUCCAGGAAUGGCUGCCUCAGCACUGACCCACAGACAGACGCUUGUAUACAGAGAGGCAUUUAAUGAUAUAUUUCUGUCCUUUUAUUUUAGAGGAGAAUUUUGAUCCUAAGGAAGAAUACUUUGUCUAAGUUGCACCGUUAUGUACUAACAGAACUUAUAUUAUAGCAUACUCAUCUUCCCUUAUGGUCUAGAGAUCUUUGGCCCAAUGGCCUUUGGAAAUUCAGAGAUUUAAAAAAAAAAUGGCAUUUUAUACAAUUGCACUAAUGAUCUUCACAGUGGCAAUAUUUCACAGUUGGCCAAAAAAAGAACUGCCAAUUUAUUUCUUUAAGAUUACCAUAAAUUUCUAUAUUUGCUGUUUGGGUGAUGAAAGAAAGUUCCCAGGCUAACUCAUGCACAGGAGGUACACUGUCAUCUUAUAGGUAGGGUGCUGACAAACAGCUUAGGGCCCAUGGUGGCAGCAAAGAAGCAUAGUCGCCUAGGUCUUCAGAGAAAUGAGAUCACGUGUUCUGCCAUUUGCAUGGUUUGGGGAGAGAGAGAUGCUAUAGUUUGACUUUUGCUUCUAACUAGUUUGGUUGUUGCCUUGAUCUUAUUGAAAUCUGAACAAUUGGAUAUUACUUUGUAGCUACUCUAUGCUUUAGGUGCCUCCUAACCUGACUUUGCAAGGCCUUUCACUAGUUACAAAUAUUUUCUGUCGUUUUUCAUUGAAGUUCUUGGAAAAUCUGGUUCCCAUAGCCAAUCAUUUGAAUACAGGUCGCCCUGGCCGCAAUGAUCAAUGGUUAGUUUAUGGUUUACUUGUCAGAACAGCAGGAAAGGUUUCAUCAGCCAUACCUCAGAGAAGGAGUAGGUAAGGCAUUGGAGACUAUGGACAAGCUUGUUUGCUUGGAAGAGGCCACAAGAAUAACCACGGUGUUACAAGUUCAUCUGCCAAACUGAUUCUGGUUGUUGGAUGCUUUGUUUGUAGUGUUGUUAGAUCCACUCAUUCCUCGAAGACUUUUACCAAGUUCUAUAAUUGUCUAAGCAUCAAAAACACACUGAUUCCUAUGUAUCACCGAGACCCAUCCAGACUUGACCCUGAAUGAAUGAAGGAGAAAAUAAGGAUAAAGAACACUUUUUAUAUAUUUACUGUUUGGGCCCAGAGGGAGGUUUGACUGUAUGCUUUUCAAAUUAUAAAUGAUGUCACAGUAAGCUAAGCAUCUUGUCAUUGCCACUUCGUGCAUGUCUUCCCUCAGGUAGUUUUGUUCAGGAACAAGAAAAGUCAGAAGUGGAAUCUAAUUUUUUCCACAUAUUCAUAUGGAACAUUUAUUCACAGUUGGAGCUGACAUUGCUCACAAUGUUGUUUCGGAUAUGUGUUGAUGUAUUUUAUUCAUAUCAAUGAGUAAAAUUUAGAAAUAUUAAGAGUUAGAAAAGCUGUCUCAAGAAUUGAGUGGAGCAUGAAUAAUAGAAGAUAUUCUUUGUACUCAUUGGAUAUAACUACCUUAUUGCUCAAAUAUGAUUGAAUUAUUGUGAGACAGGAGGUCUUUGGAGUCCUAUGACCAUGGGACCCACGAGUAUCAUUUAUAUUAAGUUAUGUUGAAAAUGCUAUGAAAUGCUGCAUAGCAUGCUUUAUACUGCUGGCCAGUAUUAUAAAAACCAGAUGACUAAGAAGAGAUGAAACUACUAUUACCAUAGCUGCUACUACUGCUACUAUGGCUACUACUACUACUACUACUACUACUACUACUACUAUUACUACUACUACUACUUAAGUUAAUGAAAUCUAUAAAGGAUUUAAUCAGAUGGUUGACUAAGCUUUGCAUAACUCUCUGGUUAUUAAAUGUCAUUCCUAUUUCCAAAACUGUGUGUGGAGGCAAAAAGUGACACUUAUCUUUGAGCUCCUGUAAAAUUCUAUUGAAGUUUCAAAUUAUCUUCAUUUUUGUUUCUUUGCUAUGACUCACUAUAGUAUUUGUGUCUGGCAUUUGAGAAUGGAACGAUAUACAUUAUGAUAUUUUGUGUACUGCCCACUGUAUAUUCUGUACCCAAGAAAAAGUGAAUCCAAACUUAAGUCUUGCACCAAAUGCAGAAAUCUGAGCUAGAGAAUUACGUUUCAACCAUUCUUGUAAUACUUCCUUGUCGCAGACCCUCUGGGUCCCUGGUCUGCGAGGAACGGGAUUACUUAAGCAGAUGGGCAAAAGAGUCGGAUGAAAUGACAAUCAGACACACGCAAGAGAGGUGUUGAAUCUGAAUGUAAUGUUCUGGUUGAGCUUCAGACUUAUAUUACAAUGAAUUAUCAGAGGAUACAAAUCACAAAAGACAAGAUACACUGAAAUUCACCAGUUACAGCAGAAAGGAAUUUGCAGGGACUAAUUAAAUGUUUACAUUAGGGAUAACAAGCCCUGCCUAGGAUCAGCCUAAUGCCAGGCAAGAAUUUCACACUUUAAGGUUAAAAGCAUCAGGGGGUUGUUAACUCUUGACAGGCCUUAAGAGUAAUGUGUUAUCACAGAGCUCUAAAUUCUUAGGUCUAGUAAAACUUAUCCUGUCUGGUGAGUUCCCCCUUAUCAGGGUAGUAUAUCAACUUAUACUUGACAUGGAAUGUAGCCUGUAGUAAAAGAUUUCUAUCUCAGUGAGACUUUUAGUCUCUUUCUGCAGACAGCUGAGUUAAUGGCAAGUGCUUUAUUUUUUUAUGGUAGAGCUUAAUUAGUUACUGAAUAGGUUAAACUCCUUGCUGCUAUCAGGAAUCUAAGAACACUGGGAAAAGGCUUUAGCUAUGUUAGAAUUCAAUCUUAAAAGUCAUUUACUAUAAGGUAAUGCUUAAUAGAGUGCACGUGAAUCUAUACACUAGACUAAUGUGGUAGAAAUUUGAAUAUUAUGGGUUAGGGAAAGAAAUGCCAUAACUCUGGGAGGAAAAUUUCCAUGGAACUCUUAUCCUCGUGAAACAGCUUCCAGGCUUUUCGCCUGACAAACCGAUCCAAACUGGAGAGUUGACUUUCGCCAGACAUCUAGGAGGAAAGUCCUAGAAAUUCAUUUCUCAUGAGCAGCUUUUUGGCAUUUCUGCCUCACAAGCUGACUCCACCAGAGUGCCCUGACACUUCCUCUCUCCCUCCUCUACGAUUUUCACAGACAAGGCAUAAUUCCUGUGAUUUGAAUUGAAAGAGGGACCAGCUCUGUGCUGAGUGAUGAGAUCUGAGCGCAGAAUAAAAUAUUCUUGAGUUAAUUUGCAUAAUAGAAUCCGAUUGGUUACAAAGCUGUGUUUGUUGAAGGAGAGACCAGAGUCCCUUUGCUCACCCACAAGGAAACCUUGCAGAUACAAAAAUAGGAUUUUGAGCUCUGGUAAGAACCUUGAUAAUAUACUUUGCAUAAUAAUAACCUGUCUUUAGCUGUAAAUUAGCUUGCUAGAUAUAAAAAGAUUGGGUCAGUGUGUCUGAUUCUUCCAGCUCUGUGGGGAGGAGAAAACUGAAAACCAAAUCUGCUUGCUUUUUGCUAACUGUUUUUGUCUUUCAUUUCCUACCCGAUAACAAUUUCCAGCAGGAGUCCAAAUAUACUUAAACACCCAUAUAUGUCAUUUUCUUUUAAGGAGACAAGCAGGCUCAGCAGCCUGCUUAAGAAGGACUCUCUGCUCUCUAGAUAGAGGGGUGAGCCUUCCACUUAGAACUGGUGAUUUUGCAAAUCCAUUUCCUGUCACACUAUUACUCUUGUGACUUUCAACAACAUUUAUUUUUUCCCUCCAAGCACUGUGCUCCCAUCGUAAAGUGAAGUCUUCUUACAUGUGUUAGUGGAACCCUGAUGCUUAGGCAUCCUGGCCAGCUGCUAGGAAGAGCUUUAAUGGGAAGAUUGCCAUUGGGGUGGCAAGUGCUUUGGGGUUUUUUAUUAAUAUUAAUUAGAACAUUGAUAGAUUUCUCUAAUUAUUACCCACAUCAAGGUCUCCUUAGGAGGGCAGCCUUUUAUUAAUUUUUUUGUGAGAUCUGUGCUAAAUUUCUACAGUAUUCAACAGUCCAGUCUUGAGAAGUUCCAGGUCUUUCUU
RNAcentral lists this long non-coding RNA (4010 nucleotides) under Mus musculus (house mouse). Its description in RNAcentral is "lincRNA-EC18". Lineage: Eukaryota; Metazoa; Chordata; Mammalia; Rodentia; Muridae. The record is from RNAcentral.